CAGCCGCCGCGGUAAGACAGAGGAUGCAAGCGUUAUCCGGAAUGAUUGGGCGUAAAGCGUCUGUAGGUGGCUUUUCAAGUCCGCCGUCAAAUCCCAGGGCUCAACCCUGGACAGGCGGCGGAAACUACCAAGAUGGAGUACGGUAGGGGCAGAGGGAAUUUCCGGUGGAGCGAUGAAAUGCGUUGAGAUCGGAAAGAACACCAACGGUGAAAGCACUCUGCUGGGCCGACACUGACACUGAGAGACGAAAGUUAGGGGAGAAAAUGGGAUUAGAUACCCCCGUAGUCCCUGUCUCUUAUAC
RNAcentral lists this ribosomal RNA (301 nucleotides) under uncultured bacterium. RNAcentral's name for it is "partial 16S ribosomal RNA". It matches the Rfam family "Bacterial small subunit ribosomal RNA", at positions 509 to 808 of the family's 1533-position model. The record is from RNAcentral.